This 478-nucleotide ribosomal RNA is filed under the name uncultured bacterium. RNAcentral describes it as "partial 16S ribosomal RNA". It matches the Rfam family "Bacterial small subunit ribosomal RNA", at positions 28 to 523 of the family's 1533-position model. The record is from RNAcentral.
GACGAACGCUGGCGGCGUGCUUAACACAUGCAAGUCGAACGGUAAGGCCCUUCGGGGUACACGAGUGGCGAACGGGCGAGUAACACGUGGGUGAUCUGCCCUGCACUUCGGGAUAAGCCUGGGAAACUGGGUCUAAUACCGGAUAGGACCACUGCCUGCAUGGGUGGUGGUGGAAAGCUUCUGCGGUGUGGGAUGGGCCCGCGGCCUAUCCGCUUGUUGGUGGGGUGAUGGCCUACCAAGGCGACGACGGGUAGCCGGCCUGAGAGGGUGACCGGCCACACUGGGACUGAGAUACGGCCCAGACUCCUACGGGAGGCAGCAGUGGGGAAUAUUGCACAAUGGGCGCAAGCCUGAUGCAGCGACGCCGCGUGAGGGAUGACGGCCUUCGGGUUGUAAACCUCUUUCAGCACCGACGAAGCGCAAGUGACGGUAGGUGCAGAAGAAGGACCGGCCAACUACGUGCCAGCCGCCGCCGUAA